This 246-nucleotide ribosomal RNA is filed under the name uncultured bacterium. RNAcentral describes it as "partial small subunit ribosomal RNA". It matches the Rfam family "Bacterial small subunit ribosomal RNA", at positions 26 to 286 of the family's 1533-position model. The record is from RNAcentral.
AGAAUCAACGCUGGCGGCGUGCCUAACACAUGCAAGUCGAACGAGAAAGUGGAGCAAUCCAUGAGUAAAGUGGCGCACGGGUGAGUAACACGUGACUAACCUACCCUCGAGUGGGGAAUAACUUCGGGAAACCGAGGCUAAUACCGCAUAAUACCUUCGGGUCAAAGGAGCAAUUCGCUUAAGGAGGGGGUCGCGGCCGAUUAGUUAGUUGGCGGGGUAAUGGCCCACCAAGACUGUGAUCGGUAU